CAGCACUUAGGCUGGAGUGCUUAGUCCCCAGGCUCUCUGAAUCAAGUUCUCGUGUGGUUGCAUAGGUUCUUGGGCUUUGGAAGCACAUAGAAAUUUCUUUAAUACCCUUAAAGUUAAUUCUAAUGGGCUGCAUUCAGACUGCAUCUUAUAGUCAUUUGGGGAGAGGACAGAAACAAGAAAAAGGCUUUCAUAGUAAGUUGUCUACAGAUGGCUUGGUACCGCUCAGACACUGCUGCAGACCUUCAUGCGCUGCAUCUUGUGCACAGUGAUGCAGUCACAGGUGCAAGCAGAGCUGGGAGUCCAGUGCAAUCCCAGACAUGAUUCACUGGCCUGGAGUUGUAUUUGGUUCCUCAGAACACUGCUGAAAUCACCUCUGGACCAUACUGAGUGGUUCAGCCAUGCUGUCAGAUAGAUGAACAACCACACAAUUUUGGAGACUCCUCACCACAUUUCCCAGUAGCAGCACGUGUCUCAGUUUCCAUGAACAGACUGCAGCUGGCAGAUGUGCUGGUGCCUGCCCAGUCCUCUCCACCUGGAGGUCAGAAGGAUUUCUCUUUAGGCUUUACACCAGGACUGUUUGCUGCACACUUUCUAUCAUCUGCUUCUUGACAUGCUAGUACACAGACCAGCUCUUCUGCCAUCUGGGAAAUAGCAGAUCUCCAGAGCAGGAGACCCAGAGGUCUGCUUUGUAACAAAACAAAACUGACCCAGAAAAUGUGUUAGCUAUUCUACAAAAUUCCGAAGGAAACAAGGUCAUUUAUUUCUAGUAUCAGUGCAGAAGGACAUGGGGGUUACCUGUGAGUUACAGAAGUACUUCUAGUGGUGUGUACAUUUUGAGAGUCUCCAUUCUCCACAAGGAAGUGAAAAAUAAAAGCAACUCACAAGGAACA
RNAcentral lists this long non-coding RNA (890 nucleotides) under Numida meleagris (helmeted guineafowl). RNAcentral's name for it is "lncRNA (ENSNMEG00000008383.1)". Lineage: Eukaryota; Metazoa; Chordata; Aves; Galliformes; Numididae. The record is from RNAcentral.